UUAAGGUACUUUCUGAAAUCCGUUUUAAAAAGAUUCUCUUUAUAGUUUUAACUCCAUGUUGUCAACAAAUGUUUGCUUCAUGAAUCGAUUGAAAAUCAAAAUUGGGAUAUUUUUGACAAAUGAAUGAUCCGAAAGAGACAGUGGAAAUCGAAAUCGAUCUGUAAGUUCUGGAAAUCGAAGAUGACAGCCACCAACAUCUUACCUUAUGCGAAUAGCGCCUUCACUAUCUUCCAUAAUCUGACGCCAAAGCAGAAUAUGGGGACUGAUUAACAGACGUAAUCAAAAACAUCAAAGAUAUGGUAGCGCUCUUACGAUUUUGGCUAUUUCAUCUUUAAACUCCGAAUUUUAACGAAUCUUUAGGAAAACUCAUUGGAGAUCCUCUUCUCUUGGAAAUAAAAUGAGAGUAAAAGGCUGAAA
This 417-nucleotide small RNA is filed under the name Drosophila virilis. Its description in RNAcentral is "GJ25893". Lineage: Eukaryota; Metazoa; Arthropoda; Insecta; Diptera; Drosophilidae. The record is from RNAcentral.